Molecule: ribosomal RNA, 253 nt
Filed under: uncultured bacterium
Lineage: Bacteria
Description: partial 16S ribosomal RNA
Rfam family: Bacterial small subunit ribosomal RNA
Source: RNAcentral
UACGAGAGGUGCAAGCGUUACUCGGAAUCACUGGGCGUAAAGCGCACGUAGGCGGAUUUGUAUGUCAAUUGUGAAAGCCCUAGGCUCAACCUAGGAAUCGCAGUUGAAACUGCAUUUCUUGAAUACUUGAGAGGGUGGGGGAAUACCUAGUGGAGAAGUGAAAUUCGUAGAGAUUAGGUGGAACACCAGAGGCGAAGGCGCCUGCCUGGCAAUGUAUUGACGCUGAGGUGCGAAAGUGCGGGGAGCAAACAGG